This 28-nucleotide non-coding RNA is filed under the name Cricetulus griseus (Chinese hamster). Lineage: Eukaryota; Metazoa; Chordata; Mammalia; Rodentia; Cricetidae. The record is from RNAcentral.
AAACACGUAAGAAUUCACAGCGGAGAGA